Amaranthus tricolor (Joseph's coat) is the source of this 1379-nucleotide long non-coding RNA. RefSeq lists it as uncharacterized. The transcript has 2 exons. The record is from RefSeq and is a predicted model, not a curated record. NCBI's taxonomy places the organism in Eukaryota, Viridiplantae, Streptophyta, Magnoliopsida, Caryophyllales, Amaranthaceae.
UUUAACUCCACAUUUCAUUAAAUAGUAGUAGUAUAUGAAAUUAGAAUGACAUAUAUGUCUAACCAAAAGACAUAUAUUUACAAUACUUUACAUGAAUAAAUAGGAAUACCUCUAAAUAACCUAAAGAAUUCCCCUUCCUUCAAAACAAACAUUAGUAAAGAACUCCAAUCUCUAUCUAAUUGGUUUGUAACAAAUGAUUGGAGCUUUUUUCUGCAAUCUAUAGUUGCUGAAUUUUUGUUGGGUAGAUGCACUAACAAAAGGAGUAGAAGAGAUGUCGAUCUGCUAUCCUUCAACCCCUGGUAAGAUGGCAAUGACAGUGGGGUGUUUUCUUGGUGGUAUUACUUUAUUUGUUGUUGGGGUUCAUUAUUCCUACAAGAACAUUGCUCCUCAACAGGCUAGAAUUAAAGCAAGGAAUGAUUUUGUGAAGGAGUAUCUUAGGAAGAAACAUGGUUUCGGUGAGAAGAAGAAAUGAGGCAAAUAUGUCUUUAGCUUGAUUUUUAGUGCCUUUUCAAUAUUGUUACACAAGCAUUAGUUGAUGAAUGAUAGUAGCUUUCAACAAUAGAUGACAAGAAUCAAUGAGAGAGCUUUCCGUUUGUGAACUUGUUGAUUGAUUGUUUAGUGGAGGUAUUACUUUUUGUGUAUAAUAGUUGUUCGCUAGAGCUAUUGGCUAAAAUUAUUGGUCAGUUGGCUAACUGGAUGUAUUGGCUGAUAAGCCAACUAUUUAAGUCAGUUGUUAUAGUCUUGUUUGAUUGGUGGAGUGAAUUAUUGGGGGCCCAGCAUUUCGACCACAGUUUUUGAUCUAAAAUGUGCCAGUUCAACUCUCUUGGCUGCACUUAACAAUGAAGCAACACCUGUAUUGACAUGGUUCUCUAUAUUGGAUAGUCUUAUGGGUGUUAUAGAGUUAAUAGAGAGGCUGGAAGUGAAAAUGCUUUAUCUUGCCCUUCUUAAUCUGAGCUUUGGUGUGCUGAAGAACUAGAUUUUCGGUAGUGCAUGCAAAAUUUCUGCUCUUUUUCAAUGGUUUGUAUAUUCUGUUGAUAGAAUGAACUACUUGCAAAAGUCUGACAAGAUGCUUCACUGUGGAUUGUGCAUAGUUUUGCUUCUGAUCUACCAUUAUUUUUGAAGUCAAGGAUGAAGAAAGCAUAAGGUAAUGCCUUUUAUGCUGUACUAGAAAAAAGUAUAAAUUAAAUCUUAUGUAUUUCUUUUGACUUGAGCAAUUCUCUCGUAUAUCUCAUUAUCCCAAUGUUAUUAAGUAACUCCUAUCUAUGCAAAAUUUGGUAUUAGAUAUAUGCAACCUCGCGCUUGUAAUAACUAAGCGGCUGGAUUGACUGUUUAUUGCAAACAUCAUGUACAGCUAGAAUUGAUUUGAUGAGUCAUUUUAC